Molecule: microRNA precursor, 144 nt
Organism: Gossypium arboreum
Lineage: Eukaryota; Viridiplantae; Streptophyta; Magnoliopsida; Malvales; Malvaceae
Rfam family: MIR7502 microRNA precursor family
Source: Rfam
UGUUAAAAAUUUCUUCUAUUUGUACCAUUAAAAAUUGGCAUGAUUGAUGAAAGAACGAGAUAGUGACACGUGAUGUGCCACGAGUACCUCAUGUUGUAUACUAGAACCAAUUUUUAACAAAAAAAAUGGAUGAAAUUUUUAAUA